AGUGAACGCUGGCGGCGUGCCUAAUACAUGCAAGUCGAACGAAGUGGCGCACGGGUGAGUAAUAUAUAGUUAAUCUGCCCUACACAGAGGAACAACAGUUGGGAACGACUGGUAAUACCUCAUAGUGUUGGAUGAGACUCUAUCGUAUCAGGUAGUUGGUAAGGUAAUGGCUUACCAAGGCUAUGACGCGCAACCGGGCCGAGAGGAUGAGCAGGGACAUUGGACGUGAGACACGGUAGGAACUCCUACGGGAGGGGGCGGUAAGGUAUAUUGCGCAAUGGGGGGAUCCCUGACGCAGCUACGCGGCGUAGAGGAUGACACUUUUGGAGGAGGAAAGUCAUUUUAUCAAGAUAGCGGUACCUGAUGAAUAAGCACCGGCUAACUCCGUGCCAGCAGCCGCGGUAAUAC
RNAcentral lists this ribosomal RNA (408 nucleotides) under uncultured bacterium. RNAcentral describes it as "partial 16S ribosomal RNA". It matches the Rfam family "Bacterial small subunit ribosomal RNA", at positions 29 to 526 of the family's 1533-position model. The record is from RNAcentral.